This 65-nucleotide transfer RNA is filed under the name Paratimomenus flavocapitatus. Its description in RNAcentral is "tRNA-Thr". The record is from RNAcentral. Lineage: Eukaryota; Metazoa; Arthropoda; Insecta; Dermaptera; Forficulidae.
ACCCAAAUAUUUUAAAAUAAAAUCGUGGUUUUGUAAAUCAUCAUUGGGUAUUAACCCUUUGGGUU